RNAcentral lists this ribosomal RNA (254 nucleotides) under uncultured bacterium. RNAcentral describes it as "partial 16S ribosomal RNA". It matches the Rfam family "Bacterial small subunit ribosomal RNA", at positions 524 to 776 of the family's 1533-position model. The record is from RNAcentral.
UACGGAGGGGGCAAGCGUUGUUCGGAAUUACUGGGCGUAAAGGGCGCGCAGGCGGCUGCUCAAGUCAGGCGUGAAAGGCCUGGGCUCAACCCGGGAAUUGCGCUUGAGACUGGGCUGGCUUGAGUGCGGGAGAGGAUGGUGGAAUUCCCAGUGUAGAGGUGAAAUUCGUAGAUAUUGGGAAGAACACCGGUGGCGAAGGCGGCCAUCUGGACCGCAACUGACGCUGAGAAGCGAAAGCAUGGGGAGCGAACAGG